RNAcentral lists this ribosomal RNA (810 nucleotides) under uncultured bacterium. RNAcentral's name for it is "bacterial SSU rRNA". It matches the Rfam family "Bacterial small subunit ribosomal RNA", at positions 8 to 796 of the family's 1533-position model. The record is from RNAcentral.
AGAGUUUGAUCAUGGCUCAGAACGAACGCUGGCGGCGUGGAUAAGACAUGCAAGUCGGACGAGAUUUUUCGUUGUAGCAAUACGAUGGAAAGUCUAGUGGCGAACGGGUGCUUAACACGUGGGCAAUCUGUCUUAAAGUGGGGGAUAGCUCGGCGAAAGCCGAAUUAAUACCGCAUGUGAUUAGAGUGGACAUCCAUUCGAAAUUAAAGGUGGCGCAAGCUACCGCUUUUUGAGGAGCCCGCGGCCUAUCAGCUUGUUGGUGAGAUAACGGCUCACCAAGGCUUUGACGGGUAGCUGGUCUGAGAGGACGACCAGCCACACUGGGACUGAGACACGGCCCAGACACCUACGGGUGGCAGCAGUCGAGAAUUUUUCUCAAUGGGGGAAACCCUGAAGGAGCGACGCCGCGUGGAGGAUGAAGGUCUUCGGAUUGUAAACUCCUGUCAUUGGGGAACAAGUCGCUUACGUUAACUGCGUGAGCGUUGAUAGUACCCGAAGAGGAAGAGACGGCUAACUCUGUGCCAGCAGCCGCGGUAAUACAGAGGUCUCAAGCGUUGUUCGGAUUCAUUGGGCGUAAAGGGUGCGUAGGCGGCGCGGUAAGUCGGGUGUGAAAUCUCGGAGCUUAACUCCGAAACUGCAUUCGAUACUGCCGUGCUUGAGGACUGGAGAGGAGACUGGAAUUUACGGUGUAGCGGUGAAAUGCGUAGAUAUCGUAAGGAAGACCAGUGGCGAAGGCGGGUCUCUGGACAGUUCCUGACGCUGAGGCACGAAGGUCAGGGGAGCAAACGGGAUUAGAUACCCUAGUAGUCC